Molecule: ribosomal RNA, 465 nt
Filed under: uncultured bacterium
Lineage: Bacteria
Description: partial 16S ribosomal RNA
Rfam family: Bacterial small subunit ribosomal RNA
Source: RNAcentral
CCUACGGGGGGCAGCAGUGGGGAAUCUUGGACAAUGGGCGCAAGCCUGAUCCAGCUAUUCCGCGUGUGGGAUGACGGCCCUCGGGUUGUAAACCACUUUAGUAGAGAACGAAAAGGAGCUAUCGAAUAAAUAGCUCGGCUGACGGUACUCGAAGAAUAAGCACCGGCUAACUACGUGCCAGCAGCCGCGGUAAUACGGAGGGUGCGAGCGUUAAUCGGAAUUACUGGGCGUAAAGGGUGUGCAGGCGGGUGGGUAAGACAGAUGUGAAAUCCCCGGGCUUAACCUGGGAACUGCAUACGAGACUGGUUGGCUAGAGUGCGUCAGAGGGAGGUGGAAUUCCACGUGUAGCAGUGAAAUGCGUAGAGAUCUGGAAGAACACCGAUGGCGAAGGCAGCCUCCUGGGAAGCAACUGACGCUCAUACGCGAAAGCGUGGGGAGCAAACAGGAUUAGAUACCCGAGUAGUC